CCGUAUGCAACACAGCAAGAGAAGAACAAGCCCCUUAGGAUAAUGACAAAUCCUCAUUCCAAUUCUGACAGAAUAACUUAAUCUAGGAGCUGAUACUGAGAUGGGAUAUGGGAAGACACCUUUUCUUUAGAACAUUUGCAAAGCACCUCUAGGCCUUAUUUAUUUGACUUGCUGAAAUUCAACAUUCAGGAAGUAAUUACCCUUGCUUCCCCUUGAAAAUAUUAAGCAUCUCUGAGACGACCUUUCCAGAUACAUUAUUUUUUUUUAACUUUUUCUUCAAGCUACCUACAUAAAGCAUUUUCUAUAAUUUA
Molecule: non-coding RNA, 311 nt
Organism: Lonchura striata (white-rumped munia)
Lineage: Eukaryota; Metazoa; Chordata; Aves; Passeriformes; Estrildidae
Source: RefSeq, a predicted model, not a curated record